Molecule: long non-coding RNA, 6078 nt
Organism: Corvus hawaiiensis (hawaiian crow)
Lineage: Eukaryota; Metazoa; Chordata; Aves; Passeriformes; Corvidae
Exons: 6
Source: RefSeq, a predicted model, not a curated record
GGAGGAGGAGGAGGAGGAGGAGGAAGAAGAGGAAGGAGAAGAAGGAAGGCUCCGAGCUGGGCGUUGCUCUGGCAACGUCGCGGCCUUCGCCCCGUCAUGGCCCGUGAGGGGCGGCUCCCCUCAGCCUGAACCCCGCCAAAACGAGGGGCGAGGUUCCUGUUGCUUUUUGUUGAAAGCCUCAAUUAAAAUUAAUCUGGGAAGGCAAUAAUAAGGAAUGAAAUGAAGGGAUAUAUAUAAAUAUAUGUGUACUGCGGUAUCAUUACUUGUCGGUGGCGAUUAAGGGAGUCCUGCUGUCUGGAAAUUGGCUUUGCCUCCCAGGAAACCUGAGGAAAGAGCUGCCCUAGUUAAUGCUGCUGUAGCUCUUGGGAGAGGCUUGGAAUGAAAUAGAUACAGGUUUUCUUUUGAAAUAUGCUCUUGAAUAAAUUAGUUUGCGUCCAGAAAUGGCAUCUGUUUUCCUUGGCUCAGAUAUUUUUCUAGGAAAAGUGUUUAGAUAUGCAGCUCACACGGAAAGUGGGGCUAAUAUCUGAGCAGCUUUGAAAAUCGGUGCAUCGGAAAAUGUUGUUUUUAGAACAGAAAUGCUGGUUUAAUUCCAAAGUUUAAAUACAGAAAUGCUGUGGGGUCAGUAACUCCUGGAGAGGGAAAGGAUGGGCCCUUAGACGUAGAUCUCAUGAGGUGAAAAAUGAAGUGUUUGGCGGAGUUAAGUGGCCUGGUGUUCAGUGACACCAUCUAACAACAAACCUUCUCUUUUCUUUUCAAGGAAGUAGCUGAAAACACUGGCUGCAUCUCUGUGUCUCUUGGAGGUAGGUUUUGAGGAGGCAAUUUGGUCCACUUUUAUGAUGUUUUUGAAAAUGGUGCCUAGAAUUUCCCGACUGGAAGUUUGAGGUCACAUAUCCUCUGCAUUUCGCUUGGGCUGUGGCUGAUGGAUUGGAAGAAACCUGGGCUGGUUAUUACAGGUCACUUGCUGAUUUAUCUCCAAUUCACAGCUCAUUAGAAGGUGUGUAACUCUUCAGAGAUGUUGUUAUUUAACAGAGAAUAUCCAGAGCUGGAAAGGACCCACUGGGAUCAUCAAAGCCCAAUUCCUGGCCCUGCACAGGACAGCCCUAAGAAUCCCACCAUUGAUUGCUUUGAGUCUGUGAGGUUGAAGGCAUGAAGAUGAGGACAUUAAAGCCUUUGCCCACUUAUGACAAUUAUUCUGGAGACAAACACAGGUCAGAAGACAAAUGUUACAAGCUACCUGUAAGUUCUGGUUCACAAAACAGAUGAGAAUCCAGACAUACUUCUGAACUUGGAAAUGAAAUUUAUUCUCAAGUUCUUAAUUGCUGGCUUGUGAAACAGCUUGUCUGUGAAAAUGGAAAGAAUGGACAGCCUUGAAAAACUCCCUUUCCCCUGCCCUGAAGAACUGCAGCCACAGUGUUUCAUGUGGAAGAGGAUUCCUCAAAAAUCACCAGUUUCCCAAAGGAAGGAGGUUGUUAUUUGGUAAUUUAGGCCUUGUGGACCCUCAGCUUGAGUAGCCCUGGGAGGGCCAAAGGUGCUUCCUUUUCCAGUUCACUGCCUGGAUUUUAGAAGAUGUCAUUUUUUAGCAUCUAAACAAGGAAAUCACAGCUAUUUACAUGAGAAGAAUCACAGAGAUGACAGGGCUUCCCCCCAAAACACUGCCUGUGUAAUUGCUGAAGACAUUCCAAGCCACUCUAACGAAGUACUGUCUGCCAGUCAUUAUGUUCUCCUUGGAGGACCAUCUGUUGCACUUCAAAUAUGUAAAGGUCUGCUAUCAUUUAUUGCUCCAAACAAAUCCAGGCCUUUGUCUGACGUGCUGGAGCUCCUGAAUGGAUUCUAAAGGUGGUUUCAGUCACAAAGGGCAAGAUACUCCCUUUGGUUGCACUCUAAGUGAAAGGUACUCCUUCAGCUCAAAUUUCAGAGCACAGAUAUACUGAUUAAACUGAUUUCUGAAUGUUUUCCGUUUAUUUAGAAAUGGAUUUUGAACAACAACUAUUAAGAAUAUCUGAAAUACAUUUUCUCUUAAUUCAGCCAGGAGGACAUUGGAAGAUUUUUGCUCCUGGUGAGCAAAUCUUUCCAUUGUAGUGGUAUCCAGAUUUGAUAUAUAUUGAGAUUGGAAUGAAAAUUACCUUAUUUUAACUAAAUUCUUUAAUUAGCUUAUUUGUAUCUGAAACUAGUGAUUCAAAGAAAUAGUAAAAAAUAGAGUCAGCAGCUCAAAAUGCUCAAACCUUUCUUAGCACGUCCUUUAAAAGGAUGUAAUAGUUGGUUGUACAGUCAUUAUUUAUAGGUUAAUUAGGAUCCUUUCCAUGAGUAAAAUGAGCAAGAUCAGGCAUUAAAAUAUGCUGAUUUUUGUUUUUCCUGCUGCACAUUUUAAAGAGGCUGUACAAUCAGAUUGGAGAACAUGAGCAUUGUAUUUCCACAGCAGAAAAGUUCUGUUCAGAGAUUUCCAGCCAGAGAAAUCCGUAACAAUUUCUCUCUGAUUAGGGAGUGGUCCUAUCUUUUUCCCUUUCUCCUCUUUCCCUUCUCCUUCCUGCACAGCAGCUAAUGUUCUGGUCAGAAGUAAUAAUAUGUUAGAUCUUGAAUGUCAGUAGCCCCAGAGAUUCUGACAAGACUAUUCAUGUGCAUUCAUACGUCUUAAGCAAAGCUGACACUAAAGAGACCAAGAAUUCUCAUAUUCCUCUUUUUAUUGCCAUGCAUUAAACUCAAAUCUUCUCUUGGAGACCUCUGCUAGAAAUGACAUAUUCACCAUUUGAAAAAGGCAUUUUAGCAAGAUUUAAACAAAGCAGCUGGACAUCAAUCUGGCACAGCUCAGAGGCUCCUGUGAAAGCUCCCAGUGCAAAGCUGAACUCUGGUUUACACCUCACAAAUGUUGUGAGAUAAAUACUAAUGGGAAGUAAACAUUCCUCCUAAUCUUUGUAAUUUUUUUUUUUAGUUAAGCUGUUUUUCUAAUUUCUUGGAACUAGAGCCCAUGUCCUUAAAGGGAUACUUGGAUUCUGGUAACUUGAGGUAGUUUUUUCCUGAGAAACACACACUGAGUGAAUAUUCUGCUCUACCUUUUACUCAGGACAUAUUUUACACACACUUGCAGGAUGGUGUACAGCACAUGUUGGGGUAAUUUUGCAGGGAUCUGAUUAAGUCAUUAAAGCCAGGUAGGCAAUUUUGCCAGCAAUAUUUUUAAUCUUCUUUUUUAAAAUGGUUUGGUAGUAGUGACUAAGGCAGACUAGGUGGCUCUGGGCAGCUCGCCAUUUUUAGGUAGUUUAAUUUGUUAAAAAUUAUCUUUCUUCCCACCCAAAUCCCCUUGAAACCAUUUGGAGAAGAGAACUGUUGAACAGUUGCCAGUAAUAAGUCCUGCUGAGACCUCUGUAUCCUCCUGACAGAAUUGUUGGUGCCAACUGGAGACUGACUGGCACGAGUUUGAACUCUACACUACUUGAUAUAUUUACUGCACAUGCACCAAUUCCAAUAAUUACCACCUCUGUAGCUGAAGUUUAAGCACUUGGUCUGCACUUCAUACCUCAGGUUGUUGGCAAUAUGUUCAAUCCUAUAAUCUCAAUUUUCUUGGAAUAAUUAAGUAGAAAAGAAAUACUUCAAAAAAUUAGGAGACAGAAUGGAAAUCAGAGGCUGAAUAAUAGAGUUGUUUGUCAUGUUGCUAUUGUUAAGCUGCAUUUAUUUCUAGUUAAUCUUUAUUUCUAAAAAGGCAGCAUCUUCUUUUGCCUGCAGAGAUUCACCAUGAGAUGCUGUAGUCCAUUGACUUUUAUAUUCAACAGCAGAGUAUCUCUUGAUGUGAAUGAAAAAGCAACAUGAACUCCUACUUUGUUUGGAUGUUUUAAAAAUAUAAAUAUUCCUUUCAAAAUAAAUGCUUUUGACUAGAAGGGGAAAUCACACAUCCCUUACUCCUUUUGGCUGCAUGUUUCCAUGUGAGAUUGGAGGGAUGUAAUACCAGGACUGGCUUUAAUUGCCCAGUUUUCCUGGCAAUUCCACUGGUUUAAAUCUGAUGCAAUGGGGACCAUCUCUCCCCCACCCCUGUUGUCUUUCCAAGAGACUGGUUAAUUUUUAAAUUGGAUCAGCAGCAUUUUUUUUAAACUGGUAAAGUUUCUAUUACACAAAGAUAAACCUUAGACUGAGCACAAACUGACUUGCCUGUAGCUUUCCUAAUAUGAUUGCACUGCACAGAGUAGAUACUAAAAUUUAUAUUAAAAUUUCUUCAUGCAGUUUCCCUCUAGGGAGAGGAAGAGGGAAGGAAAAAGCUUCAUGUGACAGAUGCUAAUUAUGCAGCUUAAUGCACUUCUGGAAGUUGCAGAGAUGAGAACUCUAUAAGAACCUAUCUAUAAAACAGAGCGUAUUUGCAAUAGCAUUUUUUCCUCUUUUUUUAUUUUUUUAUCUGCCUCUUCCCUGUUUUCCAGGAGGUUUUAUAUCCCAAAGAGUACAAAGGGAAAGCAGUGUCUCAGGUCCAGAAUUUGCCAGGCAUGGAUAUAAUUGUUCUCCAUUGUGUCUCACUGUUCUGAGGUGCUGUACGUGGAAUUGGGACAGCUUCAAGGUUCUGAGUCAGGAAGACUUCUAGUUGAUGUGUUAGUUUUCUUUCCUCUUUAGUGGAUUAUUUUAUUAAUUCCUUAUCCUGUGUUUCGGUUUGCUGGGCAAAUUAUGUUCUGCACUUGUGCUGGGAUCCUAUAGAAGGAUUUAUUGGGAUGAAUGCGUCAGGACUGAUGAACUGGAUCCCAAAAAUGCAUUUUAUAGAGAAGUGACCUGAGACACACAGAGUUCCUCCAAACUGGGAGGUGCAUCCACACCAAACCCAGUGUUAGAAACUAAUCCUCUCUUCCAGACACUGAGCUGUGCUGUUAGAAGGAAAAUAAAUUGAUUCCCAACCAGGGAACAUUCGGUGGUGUCCUGAAAUCAGUGGGACAUGCAAGAGCCAUUGUCCUGGAUUUCCAAAUCUACCAAAUCCCUUUUACCAAAUGAUUCUUUUUCCUCCUAGCAGUAAAUCCAUACCAGCUCUUGUGUACUUAAUGCCAAAUGCUGCUUUCCCUAAUUUCCUUCAAAUCCUUGGAUUUCUCCUUGGGGAGGUGUGACUUGAGAACCUCUCCUGCAGGGACAUCUCGGUGGCGCUGGAACUUCCGAGGGGCUUGGCUUGGCCCUGGGCACCCAGGAAUGCUCCUCACAGCCCUCGGCUGCAGCCACCGCAGGGAAAACCAUCUGUUCCCCUUGGAAAGGGGUUUGCUUCCACCCGGAGCCCUCCCCCCGCAUCCCAGCUCCGGCCCCAGCUGCCGUGUUUCGAUGAGCACUGAGGGAAUGAAUCUCCUGCGUUUAAAAAUACUCUGCUUCUAUUUAGAUGAAAAGAAGAAUCUUGCUUGCCUACACUGACAUACAAAAAUAGGCUCAGUGUGAGUAAAUCUUCAAAGUUUCUCUUGGUGAAUAUAUCUAGCCUUGCUUUUUUUUUUUUUUUUUUUAAACUUAUCAUAUAAGUUUAUUUAUAGAGUGUCCUUCUUUCCUCCUACUCUAUCAAGACAUUUGCAGAAGGUUGUCACUUGUCUUGUUCAGGAGUCCUGAAAUAAUUUGCAGGGCCUUUGAAACAUCAUCGUGUUGCAUAGUUGUGAUCAACGUGCUGCUGUUGCAUGAACAUAUCAUAUUUUAAUGUGAAUGUCAGGUUAGAUGAGACAUUCAGGGCUUUCUUUUACUUUAGGUGCUUUACACUGGUUUAUGUUUUCACUUGAACAUUGCAGUAAAAAUUCUGCAUAUAGUAACUUAAAAUUUUCCAUUCUACAUGCAAGGCAUUGCCUAGAAAAUUAAUGUGUAAUAUGAGAGGAUUAGUAAGAUGCAUACACUUUCCAAACAUCUCUUAAAAAUAGCUUUCACUGUCACUGUAGCAUCUUAAUUCUGAAUAAUCUCACAGUCCUUCUGCAAAUCUGUGCAUAUAGUAACAGAGAAACCACCUACUUUAUCCUCUUGAACUGCACAAUAUGGAUCUGGGCAUGAAAAAAACUGGGUUUUGGAGUAGGGCUCUGCUUUGGCAGAGAGGCUGUCUGGGGGACUAGUAAGAGCAUUAACGCAUUAAAUAUUAAAGUCAGCUUUCACAAUACUUGCUUA